RNAcentral lists this ribosomal RNA (450 nucleotides) under uncultured bacterium. RNAcentral describes it as "bacterial SSU rRNA". It matches the Rfam family "Bacterial small subunit ribosomal RNA", at positions 29 to 524 of the family's 1533-position model. The record is from RNAcentral.
AACGAACGCUGGCGGCAUGCCUAACACAUGCAAGUCGAACGAAGCCUUCGGGCUUAGUGGCGCACGGGUGCGUAACGCGUGGGAAUCUGCCCUUGGGUUCGGAAUAACAGUUAGAAAUGACUGCUAAUACCGGAUGAUGUCUUCGGACCAAAGAUUUAUCGCCCAAGGAUGAGCCCGCGUAGGAUUAGGUAGUUGGUGGGGUAAUGGCCCACCAAGCCGACGAUCCUUAGCUGGUCUGAGAGGAUGAUCAGCCACACUGGGACUGAGACACGGCCCAGACUCCUACGGGAGGCAGCAGUGGGGAAUAUUGGACAAUGGGCGAAAGCCUGAUCCAGCAAUGCCGCGUGAGUGAUGAAGGCCUUAGGGUUGUAAAGCUCUUUUACCAGGGAUGAUAAUGACAGUACCUGGAGAAUAAGCUCCGGCUAACUCCGUGCCAGCAGCCGCGGUAAU